UAAUUGAAGAGUUUGAUCAUGGCUCAGAUUGAACGCUGGCGGCAGGCCUAACACAUGCAAGUCGGGCGGUAACAGGGGGAAGCUUGCUUCUCUGCUGACGAGCGGCGGACGGGUGAGUAAUGUAUGGGGAUCUGCCUGAUGGCGGGGGAUAACUACUGGAAACGGUAGCUAAUACCGCAUAAUGUCUUCGGACCAAAGCGGGGG
This 204-nucleotide ribosomal RNA is filed under the name Morganella morganii subsp. morganii. RNAcentral describes it as "partial 16S ribosomal RNA". It matches the Rfam family "Bacterial small subunit ribosomal RNA", at positions 1 to 200 of the family's 1533-position model. The record is from RNAcentral. Lineage: Bacteria; Pseudomonadati; Pseudomonadota; Gammaproteobacteria; Enterobacterales; Morganellaceae.